Molecule: ribosomal RNA, 508 nt
Filed under: uncultured bacterium
Lineage: Bacteria
Description: bacterial SSU rRNA
Rfam family: Bacterial small subunit ribosomal RNA
Source: RNAcentral
CCAGCAGCCGCGGUAAUACGGAGGGUGCGAGCGUUAAUCGGAAUAACUGGGCGUAAAGGGCACGCAGGCGGAUUUUUAAGUGAGGUGUGAAAGCCCCGGGCUUAACCUGGGAAUUGCAUUUCAGACUGGGGAUCUAGAGUACUUUAGGGAGGGGUAGAAUUCCACGUGUAGCGGUGAAAUGCGUAGAGAUGUGGAGGAAUACCGAAGGCGAAGGCAGCCCCUUGGGAAUGUACUGACGCUCAUGUGCGAAAGCGUGGGGAGCAAACAGGAUUAGAUACCCUGGUAGUCCACGCUGUAAACGCUGUCGAUUUGGGGAUUGGGCUUUAAGCUUGGUGCCCGAAGCUAACGUGAUAAAUCGACCGCCUGGGGAGUACGGCCGCAAGGUUAAAACUCAAAUGAAUUGACGGGGGCCCGCACAAGCGGUGGAGCAUGUGGUUUAAUUCGAUGCAACGCGAAGAACCUUACCUACUCUUGACAUCCAUGGAAUCCUGUAGAGAUACGGGAGUGC